Phyllostomus discolor (pale spear-nosed bat) is the source of this 156-nucleotide long non-coding RNA. RefSeq lists it as uncharacterized. Lineage: Eukaryota; Metazoa; Chordata; Mammalia; Chiroptera; Phyllostomidae. The transcript is spliced from 3 exons. The record is from RefSeq and is a predicted model, not a curated record.
AAAUUUACAAAUUUUGGCUGUUUUUUUGUAAAUACACACUGAUAUGCACACAGCUGUCACAAUACAACCUAACAAAAUUGUUUCAAAUGAAGUUAAAGACAUUUAAGCACUACUAUAGUCAUCAUAUGGAAAAAAACAAAAGAACUUUUUGGCCAA